UUUGUUGACACCUGCCUCUUUAUUGCAUCUCCAAGUUCUGGUUGUUCGUCCUUUAAGAAAAGCCUCUUGGCUGAAGAGCAAGAUGAUGAAGUAGAAGCAAGAGGAUAUUCUCUGGUCAUGUGGGAGGCUCUCAUGGCUACACAACCUGAAUCCUCACCAUGAACAGCUUUGAGGAGAAAGGGAGCAACUGGGGCAGAGAAAAAUGGACACAACCUCCCAUGAGUCCACCAAAUGCCUCCACAGACUCUUUAAAAACUCUGUAUUCACUGAUAUACACCCAGUGUCCCUUAUCCAGCAUAGCAUCUUCGGUUUCUUUGCGGAGGGAAGAGGAGACUGACCUUCUUAAAACAGAGAAACAUAGCAGAGUUAUCCAACACAUGAAAUUAUACUUCCAAAAAUCAGAGAUGUUCUCCAGUACUCAUUAAUGUUAGCCAGAAAUAGAAAUAAUAUAAACCUUGGCCAUUCUCCCAGCUGAGUGUCCUAAUAAUAGAAAUGCCCCUCUGACUGAGUAGCUGAUACUGGGAUUCUGCCAAGUGAUUUCCAUUAAAAAGAGCCAUUGGUGACAGACGUCCAGUACAAUAUCAUUGGUGGAGUUCUGCUUGUCUUUCUUAGUGCACUGCUGGCAUGAGCAAGAGGAGGUCUAUUUCCCAUGUCCUGUUUUCAGUUCUCUUUCUGUAAUUAGCACUUUCCUGAUGUCUCUGCUCUUCAUGAGGUCUCUCCAAAGCCUUCUUGUCCUUACUUUCCAGUUAUACUAUGUCUGUGCACAAACACUGCAAACAAAUUCACCCUCUCACCCUUGCAGCAGCUUGUAGGAAGCCUUCCAAACCUAUGUGACUGAGCUGGGGAGCAGGGCUGUGUGCAACGCAAUGCUGGUAGAUAAGUUUUUUCCAUAUUUAUUAUUUUACAAAGGUCUCUUCUUCCAUCUAGCCUAGAGGAAGAAUUGCUAGUGAAAUUGAGGGCAGCUAGUAAACCUAUCAGGUUGUAGUGGCUAGAGAUGAAAGAUAUGCACAAACAGGUCACAAAAGUCACUGUUAGAAAACACCACUGUAAAAACAAAGGAUCCAAAAACCUCUAAAAAGUGAUUUGCACAAGCUAUGAUAACAGUAUUUAAACAGCUAUAAUGUAUGUCAUCUUGAACUACUCCAAGGAUCAAAGCUGUUCACAGCUUAAUCGAUAUUCUUGGACCUGCGCGUUUCUGCAAGGCAAGACUCCUUGUUCUUUAGAGGAAACCUGGAAAGUUGGGUGGCUUCUCCAGGCAUUGGUGCCGUAGGGAACCUCCUUGGCCAUGUCUGGGGUUUUUGGAACCUGUCUGUGUCAUUGUGGCUCCUUUGCCAGCAAAAGGUGCAGGGAAAGGCUGAAGAGCUCAUCAUUCAUUUUUUCCCUUCUGUUUUACAAAUAUCAGCUCAGAUUUUAAUUUGCAGAAGUGAUGUACCUCAAUAGUACUCCCAAUCACAUUUUAUGCCAGGCUUUUCUGAUGUGACCCAAAAACCUUAUCAGAGAGCACUGGGCAGAAUGUCUGCUUAGCAAAACUCACCACAGAUACAUCUGAGUGCUGCCAUUUGCAGGAUACCAGAUCCAUGCCUCGACUAUUUCAGAUGACAUAUGUGUUUAAUCCGUGGCAGUAUAUUAGCAGAUCAGACUUAGAUUAAUCAGGCUGAAGGUAACUUUUGGAUCUUUUCCACAAUUAGGUCAGAGAUAAAUAUGGUAGAUUGUUAUGUGCCACAACACAAGCAAGCACUGGGCAGCAGGUGAAAUUUUCAGGGACAUCAGCCAACGAGAUACUGUGAUGAGAUUAAGGGGAGCAAAGUCAAUAG
Molecule: long non-coding RNA, 1814 nt
Filed under: Meleagris gallopavo (turkey)
Lineage: Eukaryota; Metazoa; Chordata; Aves; Galliformes; Phasianidae
Description: lncRNA (ENSMGAG00000019194.1)
Source: RNAcentral